UUGGAGGGCAAGUCUGGUGCCAGCAGCCGCGGUAAUUCCAGCUCCAAUAGCGUAUAUUAAAGUUGUUGCAGUUAAAAAGCUCGUAGUUGAAUUUCGGGAUCAGAUUGUCGGUCGUGCCUCGGUACGCACUGGUAUUAUUGGUUCCUACCUUCUGAAGAACCGCGAUGUCAUUAAUUUGGUGUCGUGGGGAAUCAGGACUGUUACUUUGAAAAAGUUAGAGUGUUUAAAGCAGGCUUACGCUUGAAUACAUUAGCAUGGAAUAAUGAAAUAGGACGUUUGAUUCUAUUUUGUUGGUUUCUAGGAUUGACGUAAUGAUUAAUAGGGAUAGUUGGGGGCAUUAGUAUUCAAUUGUCAGAGGUGAGAUUCUUGGAUUUAUUGAAGACUAACUACUGCGAAAGCAUUUGCCAAGGAUGUUUUCAUUAAUCAAGAACGAAAGUUAGGGGAUCGAAGACGAUCAGAUACCGUCGUAGUCUUAACCAUAAACUAUGCCGACUAGGGAUCGGAUGAUGUUAAUUUUUUAAUGACUCAUUCGGCGCCUUACGGGAAACCAAAGUGUUUGGGUUC
RNAcentral lists this ribosomal RNA (564 nucleotides) under uncultured Glomeromycotina. Its description in RNAcentral is "SSU rRNA". It matches the Rfam family "Eukaryotic small subunit ribosomal RNA", at positions 548 to 1114 of the family's 1831-position model. Lineage: Eukaryota; Fungi; Glomeromycota. The record is from RNAcentral.